AGAGAGAGGUGUGAGGCGUCACCCAGACGAGAGCGGAGAGACAAGAGCUAAAAAUGUCCGCCAACUUCGUUGGUCGUUAAAUUUGGUUCCACGAAUUACAAUGAAUACCUCUGUAAAACCACUGCGAAAAGGAAAUACUUUGCGGUGUGUAAGUUCUGCUGUCUGCAGCUGAGAGAAACGGCGGGGACGACGUCUAACUUCAUCCGACAUCGUGAAACGGAGCACGUGGUGUUGGGAUUGAGGUAGAAGGAGAUGUCAGUGACAUGGACGAUGGCGAUAACAAGAAGAAAAAAACGAAUGGCAGAGGAGCUCCAGGAAAAGGAGGAGGAAGGGCAAGAGGCCGAAGAACAUCACCAGUCAGUGAGGAUGAGGACGAUGAGGAAGAUACACCACCAAGACCUCGAAGGGCAGGAGAACGUAGGAGGGCAGCCAGGAAAGAGGGAGACGAAGAUGAAGACGACAACAAGGCUUCCAAGAAGAAGAGAGGAGGAGCGGCCAAUAGGAGGAG
RNAcentral lists this long non-coding RNA (508 nucleotides) under Gouania willdenowi (blunt-snouted clingfish). RNAcentral's name for it is "lncRNA (ENSGWIG00000015003.1)". The record is from RNAcentral. Lineage: Eukaryota; Metazoa; Chordata; Actinopteri; Blenniiformes; Gobiesocidae.